CUUGAGUUCACUGAAAGCAUCAGAGUUUCUCUUUCAGGCAAGACAAAGACAAGUCUGAAAAAAAGGGUAACCAGAAGUUUCCACUAUGGAGGUUUAUUGAGACAUAACCCCAUCACGGGCCAAGGAAGAUCACAAUCCAGUUGUUCCAGCACCAUUUGUUGUAAGGACUCCUUUUCUCAUUGAGUUGCUUUGAUGCAUUGUCUACCUUGUAGGACUGAUGUGACACAUAAAUAAGAUGGUUACUAUAAAAUGUACAUUGCCUGACACAUAGCAAUUGCUCAAGGAAAUUAGAGAUAAUUGUCGCUGUGCCUGAGAUUUUUCCCAGUUGUCCCAGAGUUGGUGAUUAGGGCCUACAGGUGAGAACAAAAGAGUACGAACUAACCUACGCCCUUAAGAAAAUUGCCAGUAACUGGAGCCAGGCACCUCCCCAAGAGA
RNAcentral lists this long non-coding RNA (435 nucleotides) under Bos indicus x Bos taurus (hybrid cattle). Its description in RNAcentral is "lncRNA (ENSBIXG00000001972.1)". The record is from RNAcentral. Lineage: Eukaryota; Metazoa; Chordata; Mammalia; Artiodactyla; Bovidae.